This 390-nucleotide ribosomal RNA is filed under the name uncultured Geobacteraceae bacterium. RNAcentral describes it as "partial 16S ribosomal RNA". It matches the Rfam family "Bacterial small subunit ribosomal RNA", at positions 338 to 733 of the family's 1533-position model. The record is from RNAcentral. Lineage: Bacteria; Pseudomonadati; Thermodesulfobacteriota; Desulfuromonadia; Geobacterales; Geobacteraceae.
CCUACGGGAGGCAGCAGUGGGGAAUUUUGUGCAAUGGGGGCAACCCUGACGCAGCAACGCCGCGUGGAGGAUGAAGGCCUUCGGGUUGUAAACUCCUGUUAGAGGGGAAGAAGCCCCGCAAGGGGUUGACGGUACCCUCAGAGGAAGCCCCGGCUAACUACGUGCCAGCAGCCGCGGUAAUACGGAGGGUGCGAGCGUUGUUCGGAAUUAUUGGGCGUAAAGCGCGUGUAGGCGGUUUGUUAAGUCUGAUGGAAAAGCCCCGGGCUCAACCGGGGAAGUGCAUUGGAUACUGGCAGACUUGAGUACGGGAGAGGAGAGUGGAAUUCCCAGUGUAGGAGUGAAAUCCGUAGAUAUUGGGAGGAACACCGGUGGCGAAGGCGGCUCUCUGGA